This 2234-nucleotide ribosomal RNA is filed under the name Escherichia sp. MOD1-EC7003. RNAcentral describes it as "bacterial LSU rRNA". It matches the Rfam family "Bacterial large subunit ribosomal RNA", at positions 594 to 2812 of the family's 2925-position model. Lineage: Bacteria; Pseudomonadati; Pseudomonadota; Gammaproteobacteria; Enterobacterales; Enterobacteriaceae. The record is from RNAcentral.
UGACUGCGUACCUUUUGUAUAAUGGGUCAGCGACUUAUAUUCUGUAGCAAGGUUAACCGAAUAGGGGAGCCGAAGGGAAACCGAGUCUUAACUGGGCGUUAAGUUGCAGGGUAUAGACCCGAAACCCGGUGAUCUAGCCAUGGGCAGGUUGAAGGUUGGGUAACACUAACUGGAGGACCGAACCGACUAAUGUUGAAAAAUUAGCGGAUGACUUGUGGCUGGGGGUGAAAGGCCAAUCAAACCGGGAGAUAGCUGGUUCUCCCCGAAAGCUAUUUAGGUAGCGCCUCGUGAACUCAUCUGCGGGGGUAGAGCACUGUUUCGGCAAGGGGGUCAUCCCGACUUACCAACCCGAUGCAAACUGCGAAUACCGGAGAAUGUUAUCACGGGAGACACACGGCGGGUGCUAACGUCCGUCGUGAAGAGGGAAACAACCCAGACCGCCAGCUAAGGUCCCAAAGUCAUGGUUAAGUGGGAAACGAUGUGGGAAGGCCCAGACAGCCAGGAUGUUGGCUUAGAAGCAGCCAUCAUUUAAAGAAAGCGUAAUAGCUCACUGGUCGAGUCGGCCUGCGCGGAAGAUGUAACGGGGCUAAACCAUGCACCGAAGCUGCGGCAGCGACACUGUGUGUUGUUGGGUAGGGGAGCGUUCUGUAAGCCUGUGAAGGUGGCCUGUGAGGGUUGCUGGAGGUAUCAGAAGUGCGAAUGCUGACAUAAGUAACGAUAAAGCGGGUGAAAAGCCCGCUCGCCGGAAGACCAAGGGUUCCUGUCCAACGUUAAUCGGGGCAGGGUGAGUCGACCCCUAAGGCGAGGCCGAAAGGCGUAGUCGAUGGGAAACAGGUUAAUAUUCCUGUACUUGGUGUUACUGCGAAGGGGGGACGGAGAAGGCUAUGUUGGCCGGGCGACGGUUGUCCCGGUUUAAGCGUGUAGGCUGUUUUUCCAGGCAAAUCCGGAAAAUCAAGGCUGAGGCGUGAUGACGAGGCACUAAGGUGCUGAAGUAACAAAUGCCCUGCUUCCAGGAAAAGCCUCUAAGCAUCAGGUAACAUCAAAUCGUACCCCAAACCGACACAGGUGGUCAGGUAGAGAAUACCAAGGCGCUUGAGAGAACUCGGGUGAAGGAACUAGGCAAAAUGGUGCCGUAACUUCGGGAGAAGGCACGCUGAUAUGUAGGUGAAGUGAUUUACUCAUGGAGCUGAAAUCAGUCGAAGAUACCAGCUGGCUGCAACUGUUUAUUAAAAACACAGCACUGUGCAAACACGAAAGUGGACGUAUACGGUGUGACGCCUGCCCGGUGCCGGAAGGUUAAUUGAUGGGGUUAGCGGUAACGCGAAGCUCUUGAUCGAAGCCCCGGUAAACGGCGGCCGUAACUAUAACGGUCCUAAGGUAGCGAAAUUCCUUGUCGGGUAAGUUCCGACCUGCACGAAUGGCGUAAUGAUGGCCAGGCUGUCUCCACCCGAGACUCAGUGAAAUUGAACUCGCUGUGAAGAUGCAGUGUACCCGCGGCAAGACGGAAAGACCCCGUGAACCUUUACUAUAGCUUGACACUGAACAUUGAGCCUUGAUGUGUAGGAUAGGUGGGAGGCUUUGAAGUGUGGACGCCAGUCUGCAUGGAGCCGACCUUGAAAUACCACCCUUUAAUGUUUGAUGUUCUAACGUGGGCCCCUUAUCGGGGUUGCGGACAGUGUCUGGUGGGUAGUUUGACUGGGGCGGUCUCCUCCUAAAGAGUAACGGAGGAGCACGAAGGUUGGCUAAUCCUGGUCGGACAUCAGGAGGUUAGUGCAAUGGCAUAAGCCAGCUUGACUGCGAGCGUGACGGCGCGAGCAGGUGCGAAAGCAGGUCAUAGUGAUCCGGUGGUUCUGAAUGGAAGGGCCAUCGCUCAACGGAUAAAAGGUACUCCGGGGAUAACAGGCUGAUACCGCCCAAGAGUUCAUAUCGACGGCGGUGUUUGGCACCUCGAUGUCGGCUCAUCACAUCCUGGGGCUGAAGUAGGUCCCAAGGGUAUGGCUGUUCGCCAUUUAAAGUGGUACGCGAGCUGGGUUUAGAACGUCGUGAGACAGUUCGGUCCCUAUCUGCCGUGGGCGCUGGAGAACUGAGGGGGGCUGCUCCUAGUACGAGAGGACCGGAGUGGACGCAUCACUGGUGUUCGGGUUGUCAUGCCAAUGGCACUGCCCGGUAGCUAAAUGCGGAAGAGAUAAGUGCUGAAAGCAUCUAAGCACGAAACUUGCCCCGAGAUGAGUUCU